Non-coding RNA from Benincasa hispida (wax gourd), 1927 nucleotides. The record is from RefSeq and is a predicted model, not a curated record. NCBI's taxonomy places the organism in Eukaryota, Viridiplantae, Streptophyta, Magnoliopsida, Cucurbitales, Cucurbitaceae.
UAGACUACUAUAACUAAUAUUGUUUUAUCUCUGUCUAUCACUAAUAGACACUGAUAGACUACUAUAACUGAUUAUGCUAGUUUUUUCCUCUGAUAAUUUAACUUUUGUUCCCUUGUAGUUUUGCAUGAAACUACUGCAUCCAACAGAAGAGGAAUGUUAAUCAAUUUUCAAAUAUCUCAUAGAAGGUGAGGCAGAGGAGGAGAAAGAGAGGGAAAAAAAUAAGGAGAAAGAGAGAAAAAUGAAUGAAGAAAAGAAUGAACAAAUUCAUGAAGAAGAAGCAAAUAGGAUAAUGAAAGAAAUGAGUGAAUUAAGAAAAUGCCAACCGAAAAUAGUAGAAGAACAACAACUUUUUAAACAAGGACAAUAAGAAAUCAAAACAAUUUUGAGGUCAAUUAUGGAGACCUUGAAUUGUAGACUUCUAUUAGAAAAUCUUCCACAAAAAUAAGAGAUUGAAGAAGGUGUGGAAAAAAAUAAAGCGUCUUCUCUUAGCCUUCGAAUAUUAGAAGAAAGUCAUGAUCUUGAUACAAUGGUUGACGUUGCAUAUUUAUCUGGGAUCUAAGUUGAAAAUGAGAGUCAAAGGGAAAGGAAAAGAGAGGAAACUGAGAUGCAAACACAACAACUUGAAACAGAAGACGAUUUGGAUCUAAUUCCAACUACAGAUUUGGAAACACCAAAAACACAAUUAUUGCUUGGUGUUUGAUUCUUUUCUUAAUCUACUUAUUGUUCAAACACAAGAGAUAAGACGGUGAUAGUCCCCUAUAACUUUUUAUUUCAGAUAGACAAUCUCACAAAGACUCUGAUAGAGGUCUAUCACUGUCUAUCUCAGUUAGAUAGUGAUAGUCGUCCUUUAUCACUGUCUAUCUAGGAUAAAUAGAGAUAGAGCACUACCAGUAUCUAUCUGAGAUAGAUUUUCUAUCAUUUAGGAUAGAUAGAGAUAGAACACUAUCUCUGUCUAUCUGAGAUAAACCGAGAUAAAAUACUAUCUCUGUCUAUCCAAGAUAGAUAGUGAUAAUCCUUUAUCACCGUCUAUCUAAUACACACAGGUGAUUCUUACUUUCUAUCAUAUGCUACAAGUAGAUGAAGAUGAAGAAGACAAUGAAACUAAAACUAAAAAGGAAGAAGAUGAGGUUGAAGAAGAUAUUGAAAAAGAUAAAGAAGAACAAGAAACUGAAGUAGAAGUUGAACCAGAAGAAAAUCAAAAAAGAGAAAGAAGAUCUAAACAUAGAAAUGAGAAAAAGGUUAAUAUGGUUGUUUAUAUACAUGAUGAUAGAAAUGAUAGUUCAAUGUUCUUCUUAUGAACUCCAAUAUCUUCUUGCAGUAAAUCAAUGAAGAAAAGCAAAUUGAGAAAGAGAAAGAAGAUGAAAAGCAAGUAGAAGAAGAGCAAGAGAAAGUAGAUGAAGAGCAACUAGGAGAAGACCAAGAGAAAGUAAAUGCAGAUCAAGUAGAAGAUAAGCAAAAUGAGGAGGAACAAGUUGAAGAAGAGCACAAGGAAGAUACUGAUAAGGAAGAUAGUGAAAAGAUUUGCUUUCAGAACAAGAGACCAAAGAGAAACUCGAAGCGGAAUCAAAUUGUUGAUGUGGAAGAUGAAAUAGAAGAAGAAACUGAUAGUGAAGAGAAUACAGAUAAAGAGAUUCAAAUAAAAGGAAAAAAGAGAAAACAGAAGGGAAAGUAGCAAGAGCGGGGUAAGCGUAAAAAGUUUAGACCAAUGGUGCUAGAAGACAUACACUUUAAAAAAGAGAGACCAAAAAGAUAGCGAAAACCAACCAUAAAAACAUAUGCAAAGAAUAUUAGGAAGAAAACUGAGAAGAAGAAUGAAGUACAACCCCGAACUUUAACUCAAGAAUAUGAAAAAUUGAUGACGGACACUACUCCAAGCUUUAGCUUGAACAUUUCUCAAACUCAAUCUCAACCUAAAUGCCAAUCUCAA